Molecule: ribosomal RNA, 253 nt
Filed under: uncultured bacterium
Lineage: Bacteria
Description: partial 16S ribosomal RNA
Rfam family: Bacterial small subunit ribosomal RNA
Source: RNAcentral
UACAGAGGGUGCGAACGUUAAUCGGAAUUACUGGGCGUAAAGCGCACGUAGGUGGCGACGUAAGUCGGGUGUGAAAGCCCCGGGCUCAACCUGGGAAUUGCAUUCGAGACUGCAUUGCUGGAGUACGGAAGAGGAGGGCGGAAUUCCCGGUGUAGCGGUGAAAUGCGUAGAUAUCGGGAGGAACAUCAGUGGCGAAGGCGGCCCUCUGGCUCAGUACUGACACUCAAGUGCGAAAGCGUGGGGAGCAAACAGG